RNAcentral lists this ribosomal RNA (1332 nucleotides) under Acinetobacter baumannii. Its description in RNAcentral is "bacterial LSU rRNA". It matches the Rfam family "Bacterial large subunit ribosomal RNA", at positions 1 to 1368 of the family's 2925-position model. Lineage: Bacteria; Pseudomonadati; Pseudomonadota; Gammaproteobacteria; Moraxellales; Moraxellaceae. The record is from RNAcentral.
GUUGUAUAGUCAAGUAAUUAAGUGCAUGUGGUGGAUGCCUUGGCAGUCAGAGGCGAUGAAAGACGUGAUAGCCUGCGAAAAGCUCCGGGGAGGCGGCAAAUAUCCUUUGAUCCGGAGAUGUCUGAAUGGGGGAACCCACCUACUUUAAGGUAGGUAUUGCAACAUGAAUACAUAGUGUUGCAAGGCGAACGAGGGGAAGUGAAACAUCUCAGUACCCUUAGGAAAAGAAAUCAAUUGAGAUUCCCUCAGUAGCGGCGAGCGAACGGGGAUCAGCCCAUUAAGUUAUGUGUGUUUUAGUGGAACGCUCUGGGAAGUGCGAACGUAGAGGGUGAUAUUCCCGUACACGAAAGGGCACACAUAAUGAUGACGAGUAGGGCGAGGCACGUGAAACCUUGUCUGAAUAUGGGGGGACCAUCCUCCAAGGCUAAAUACUCCUGACUGACCGAUAGUGAACCAGUACCGUGAGGGAAAGGCGAAAAGAACCCCUGUGAGGGGAGUGAAAUAGAUCCUGAAACCGCAUGCAUACAAGCAGUGGGAGCACCUUCGUGGUGUGACUGCGUACCUUUUGUAUAAUGGGUCAGCGACUUAUAUUCAGUAGCAAGGUUAACCGUAUAGGGGAGCCGUAGAGAAAUCGAGUCUUAAUAGGGCGUUUAGUUGCUGGGUAUAGACCCGAAACCAGGCGAUCUAUCCAUGAGCAGGUUGAAGGUUGGGUAACACUAACUGGAGGACCGAACCCACUGUCGUUGAAAAGCCAGGGGAUGACUUGUGGAUAGGGGUGAAAGGCUAAUCAAGCCUGGUGAUAGCUGGUUCUCCCCGAAAGCUAUUUAGGUAGCGCCUCGGACGAAUACCAUAGGGGGUAGAGCACUGUUUCGGCUAGGGGGUCAUCCCGACUUACCAAACCGAUGCAAACUCCGAAUACCUAUGAGUACUAUCCGGGAGACAGACUGCGGGUGCUAACGUCCGUAGUCAAGAGGAAAACAAUCCAGACCGCCAGCUAAGGCCCCAAAAUCAUAGUUAAGUGGGAAACGAUGUGGGAAGGCAUAGACAGCUAGGAGGUUGGCUUANNNNNNNNNGAAGCAGCCACCCUUUAAAGAAAGCGUAAUAGCUCACUAGUCGAGUCGGCCUGCGCGGAAGAUGUAACGGGGCUAAAACUAUGUGCCGAAGCUGCGGAUGUAUACUUUGUAUACGUGGUAGGGGAGCGUUCUGUAAGCCGAUGAAGGUGUGUUGAGAAGCAUGCUGGAGGUAUCAGAAGUGCGAAUGCUGACGUGAGUAACGACAAAACGGGUGAAAAACCCGUUCGCCGAAAGACCAAGGGUUCCAGUCCAACGUUAA